RNAcentral lists this ribosomal RNA (459 nucleotides) under uncultured bacterium. Its description in RNAcentral is "partial 16S ribosomal RNA". It matches the Rfam family "Bacterial small subunit ribosomal RNA", at positions 338 to 795 of the family's 1533-position model. The record is from RNAcentral.
CCUACGGGUGGCAGCAGUGAGGAAUAUUGGUCAAUGGGCGCGAGCCUGAACCAGCCAAGUCGCGUGAGGGAAGACGGUACUAUGGAUUGUAAACCUCUUUUGUCGGGGAGCAAAAGACGCCACGCGUGGCGUUCCGAGAGUACCCGAAGAAAAAGCAUCGGCUAACUCCGUGCCAGCAGCCGCGGUAAUACGGAGGAUGCGAGCGUUAUCCGGAUUUAUUGGGGUAAAAGGGUGCGCAGGCGGAAGAUCAAGUCAGCGGUAAAAUUGAGAGGCUCAACCUCUUCGAGCCGUUGAAACUGGUGUUCUUGAGUGAGUGAGAAGUAUGCGGAAUGCGGGGUGUAGCGGUGAAAUGCAUAGAUAUCACGCAGAACUCCGAUUGCGAAGGCAGCAUACCGGCGCUCAACUGACGCUCAUGCACGAAAGUGUGGGUAUCGAACAGGAUUAGAUACCCGAGUAGUC